GCUAAGGUAGCAUAAUCAUUUGUUAUUUAAUUGGUAACUGGAAUGAAAGGUUAAACUAGCUUAUUAAGUUUGUGUAACUAAAUAGAAAUUUAAAGUUAAGGUAAGAAUUCUUUAAUUUUCUAGGGGACGAUAAGACCCUAGAAGCUUAACGAGCAGUGUUUUGGUUGUACAAGCUAGUUUGUUUUACUGGGGCGGUAAAAAUAAGUAAGCUAUUUAUUGUUUAAAGGAUCCUAAAUAUAAAGAAAAAAUGGAGUAGUUACUCUAGGGAUAA
This 271-nucleotide ribosomal RNA is filed under the name Gammarus sp. s TM-2021. Its description in RNAcentral is "partial 16S ribosomal RNA". Lineage: Eukaryota; Metazoa; Arthropoda; Malacostraca; Amphipoda; Gammaridae. The record is from RNAcentral.